Non-coding RNA from Pelobates cultripes (western spadefoot toad), 219 nucleotides. The record is from the annotation of a GenBank genome assembly. NCBI's taxonomy places the organism in Eukaryota, Metazoa, Chordata, Amphibia, Anura, Pelobatidae.
CUAGUAUGUCAACUUAUUACAUUACUACAUAAUUUGCAAAUAGAUAAAUGAGAGGAUCAGUAGGAUGGAUUAUUGGAAAAUCUGCCAUUGUAGGCACUGUAAUACUGAGACAUAAAGACCAUUUCGAAUUCCAGAUCUUCAAGAGAUUCUGGGUUAACAAUGAAAAUGUGCUACAAUUGACCCCUGCUUCUCAGGAUAGUACUUGCGGCUCCAGGCUGG